RNAcentral lists this ribosomal RNA (454 nucleotides) under uncultured Thiobacillus sp. RNAcentral describes it as "bacterial SSU rRNA". It matches the Rfam family "Bacterial small subunit ribosomal RNA", at positions 927 to 1382 of the family's 1533-position model. Lineage: Bacteria; Pseudomonadati; Pseudomonadota; Betaproteobacteria; Nitrosomonadales; Thiobacillaceae. The record is from RNAcentral.
AAGCGGUGGAUGAUGUGGAUUAAUUCGAUGCAACGCGAAGAACCUUACCUACCCUUGACAUGUCCGGAACUUGCCAGAGAUGGCUUGGUGCCCGAAAGGGAAUCGGAACACAGGUGCUGCAUGGCUGUCGUCAGCUCGUGUCGUGAGAUGUUGGGUUAAGUCCCGCAACGAGCGCAACCCUUGUCUCUAGUUGCCACCAUUCAGUUGGGCACUCUAGAGAGACUGCCGGUGAUAACCGGAGGAAGUGGGGAUGACGUCAAGUCCUCAUGGCCCUUAUGGGUAGGGCUUCACACGUCAUACAAUGGUCGGUACAGAGGGUUGCCAAGCCGCGAGGCGGAGCCAAUCCCACAAAGCCGAUCGUAGUCCGGAUUGUUCUCUGCAACUCGAGAGCAUGAAGUCGGAAUCGCUAGUAAUCGCAGGUCAGCAUACUGCGGUGAAUACGUUCCCGGGUCUU